GUGCAUGAUUUACAUAUUUGUCUAAUACAGUGAUUCUCAACUCAACUCUACUAAAAUCUUAAUCUCAAACUGAAUUCGUUAAUACAGAUCCCUUCUUUCAGCCCAUCCUAUUCAUGGAAUAUUCCCCACAACAUUCUUUGUCAAAAUAUUUAAUGUCACGGUUUUUCUAGUUUUCACCUUUUCCUUCCCUUGUGCUUUUGACUACUGCUUCAGAAGAUCUAUGUAAUCAAAACUUCUUUGACAACAUUUCCUGAAAUUUAUCUUCAAUUGAUUGCAAUCAUUCAUUUUUUAAGGCUUCUUGUGUUAUACCACUAGCAACCUAACAUCCCAUAUUAGAUACACUUGUAUCCAUUUUAGGCCUAGUAACUAGAAAAAUCCAAACCUAAGUCCAUAUUUUAUUAUGGCCAAUGUUUGAUCUUGCAUCAAUUACAUACACAACUUCUAUCAGUAGAUUACAGCAGGACUAGGGAGGAUUUAUGCUAAUUCUUCCAAAUUGUUGAAAUACCUUAUAUUUUAAUCCAAAAAGUUUAUUGGGUUGCCACAUCAGCAAUAAGAUUUCUUGAA
Molecule: unclassified non-coding RNA, 564 nt
Filed under: Hevea brasiliensis (rubber tree)
Lineage: Eukaryota; Viridiplantae; Streptophyta; Magnoliopsida; Malpighiales; Euphorbiaceae
Source: RNAcentral